Mus musculus (house mouse) is the source of this 1877-nucleotide long non-coding RNA. RefSeq annotates it as predicted gene, 32084. The record is from RefSeq and is a predicted model, not a curated record. Lineage: Eukaryota; Metazoa; Chordata; Mammalia; Rodentia; Muridae. The transcript has 4 exons.
AAAUCUUAGUUUCUCUGUGUAGUUAUUGGGGACUCACUAAGGUAAAGAAAUACAGCUGUUGGAUUAAUUUACUGAUUACAUUUAUAUUAAAAUAAUUCAUUUUACAGGUCACAGCUAUGUGAACUCCGCUGUAACCAGGCUUCCUGCAGUCAUGGUGGUCUUCCAUGCCGGGGAUUCCCAGGAAGCCGCCAGCAUUUCUCAGCCUGAAGUUCAUCUCUUCUCCUCCUUGGACACUCCCAGCCUUCACUUGCACUCUUUUAUGACACUGUGAUUUACCUCCCAUAAUCCCAAGUGGAUACAUCAUACCCGCAGAAACUACUUAUUUGUCCUCCCGACUGAAAUAUAACUUCUACAAAGACCAACCUCAGCUCACCAAAGUACGAGCAAUUAUGCCAUCUUCUCUGCCUCUUAGGCCAAGGAUACAACGGUCAUGUUGGGAAACUCUUCUUCAGGAUAACCCUGUAAAGGUGAGCUGAACUAGAACUACAAGUUAACAGGUGCAAAGAAUUCAGACUCCAGCUCAUUUAUCCUAAUGGCUGCUGGGCCUGAUGACAGCACUCUGGAUCCAGCUAUGGGAGUAUGAUAUGGUGUGGCAUGUGAUUUAGAACUCCCUGAAAACUCCUGAGAGAGACAAAGGGCCCUUCAACAUUCCCACUCCACAGAGCAGCUGUGGAAGGCACACACGGUACUUGAGCAUCUGACGUCAAACCGCAGCAGUCAGGUAAGGACUGUCAUUUCUUCUCCACAAACAGGAAUUUACUGGUUUCCUUAACUGGGCAGUGACACCUGGCUUCCUAUGUUUCAGCUGGGGAGGGUGUCCUUGCCCUGCCUGAGAAGGGGUGUCUGCAGACUGACAUAGUCCCUGCCAAGAGAUUAUCUGGCAUCCUGGAUGAGCAGUUGGUGUAUCCAGCUAGAAGUGGGAGUGUACUAGGUAUCUCAUAAAGAAACAAAAACUUAACACUGCAGUGUAGUUGAGCUGCAUGUUGCUAAAAACUGGGAUGGGGGAACUUUCUACCCCUCACUCUGCUUGCUCUGCCUUCCACUGUGCCAGAUAAAGAGUACAGAAAACAAUUCCUUCUCGAUCCUAGUACUCAGGGUAAGUGCUUGCUGUCGGUGCAGUCAGUUUCUCAGAGGCUUGGUGGGCCCAAAGCAGGUCAUGACUCUAAUAGUAUACGGAUUCAUAUUUCCAAAAUAUCCACUUGAUCUCUAUGGUUAUAGGAGAGACCCAUGAAAAUGGAAAGCUACAGAAUGAACUCUUUGCUGACGUGUGAACUGGAUAUUAAGCCCCUUCUUUUGUCCACUUUGUCUUUGUGAAAACUGUCUAUCUUCUAAAGCAACAUGGCCAACAUGGCUACACGUCAGCGGAACCUAACACCAUGCUGAGAAGAUGACUCUGGGAAACUUUAAGAUGAUUCUCAAAUGAGCUGGAAGACUGGAGUGACCAUUACCACCUCCCCCAACAGGAACAUUGUAACUACAGUAUGUUCUUUAACCAGGAAUGAAACUCCAAAAUCAUCCUUCAUAAAAGCUACCCUGUUCUGGUUUUCCUAGUUCUCCAGUCUGUCUGUUUUUUAUCCAGAGAUGCAAUGCAGGUACUAUGUUGUGGUGUUAGCAUCGCAGACCCUUAGUUUCCAUGGCUUAAAGAUAUUUUUUCUUAAAAUAAUCAUAAUCAAGUUUAUGAAUGAAAACACACACACACACACACACACACACACACACGGCCAGGCAUGGGAGUCAAAUACUUCACCAUCUUUAUUGUAUGUAGAACCUAAAAAUGACAAUAUUAUGGAGGUGAGGAAUAGAAACUAGUGUCAAGGCAGAAAUAUGAACCAAGGAGAUUAUGGUCCAAGGUCCAUGUUUAAGACAAGAAAAUUCUG